UUGUGAUUCAUGCUCAUUCUUUUUUUCUAUAUAAUCAAACCAUUUUAACACCCACAGUCUCCUUAUCCUAAUUUUAUUUAAUACAUUACUGAAACCUGGCUGAGCAUAGAAGGGAAGAGUUCCCUUUCAGAAACGUGCCUGACUGGGUUUCAUGUGAACUCCAGCUACAAUGGGAGUGCAGGGCAGGAGUGUAAUAAUUGCUAUUUACAGAUUCUGAUAGCUUUCAGGAAGUUUGUUCCACUAAUAACCAGGUAUCAGCCUCCUUGAUGGAAGGGAUGGCAGGAGCAUUUUCAUCUUGGCCUUGGAUAUGGUUGUGUUUUUCCAUUCAAGACUGGUGUAUACACUGGGGUGUCCUUCUGGAUUCACAGCUCCUGCUCUAAGUGCAGGUGGUAGCUGUGGCCUGGCCUGACAGCUGUGGUCUAUGUUCCACUUGCUCCCUUUUCUCAACUGAUGACCACCCUGAUUACCUCACAAUUGGACUCCUGCAAUGUGGUCUAUGUGGGAUUGCCCUUGAAAACCUUCCAGAACCUACACCUAGAAUGCAGUAGCAUGAACAAUUAUAGGCACUUCACAGUAUGCCUAUGUGCCAAUGCUGGUAUGUGAGUUGCAUUGAUUGCUAGUAGGUUUCCUUUGCAAUUCAAUUCAAGGACCAAAGAAGCAUACUUUCUCUGUCAGGACCCCCAUCAUCUGGAACAGCGACUUCUAGGAGAUUCCACCCUCCUGGGAUUUUGGAAACCUUAAGGUUUGUUUUCUGUUUAGGCCUGAAGUUAAUUGACAUGUUUGAAGAACAGAUAAAAUGCUGUAAAUUGGCCAGUAAUGGUGAUAUUUCCUCAUCUUCUGAAAAACCCAUUUAUUCUCUCUCUCGACAAAUCAAGGCAUUGUCAGCCUGCACUCAUCUCGUGGCCAGAGGGGCCCGACCAAUUUCUAGCUGAACGUGAAUACUGGAAUGCAGAUGAGGGUCUUCUAACGAAGCCUUUCAGCGUAGGCAGCUGGUCUUAGCUUGCCUCAAUUUCUAAAUCAUCCAUAAUGGGGCCAGGACCUCCAAAGCACUAAAAAGAGCGAGCUGACAUGCUGGACAAACUGUUAAUUUUUUUUCCUGAAGAAGCUGCGAUAUUGCACAUCUGUCACUGCUAUGAAGACAAUUACUCACAGAGUGGAGAGAAAUCUGCUGCUUGUUUCUAGCAUCGUUGCUAAAUAGCAUAAUGGCACAAUACAAUCGUGUGGGAGAGGCACAGGGUGGGCCUUCUUCCUUCCUUUUAACAAUUCUGCUCAGUUGUUGUCUGCUUCAAUAUUAUGGAACAUUUUGCAGUUGUAAUAAUAUAAGCCCAACACUAUUAAAAGAUAGGUACAGUA
Molecule: long non-coding RNA, 1353 nt
Organism: Pantherophis guttatus
Lineage: Eukaryota; Metazoa; Chordata; Lepidosauria; Squamata; Colubridae
Source: RefSeq, a predicted model, not a curated record